CCUACGGGGGACAGCAGUGGGGAAUAUUGCACAAUGGGGGAAACCCUGAUGCAGCAACGCCGCGUGAGUGAGGAAGUAUUUCGGUAUGUAAAGCUCUAUCAGCAGGGAAUAGAAAAGAAGGUACCUGAAAAAGAAGCCCCGGCUAACUACGUGCCAGCAGCCGCGGUAAUACGUAGGGGGCAAGCGUUAUCCGGAUAUACUGGGUGUAAAGGGAGCGUAGACGGCAGCGCAAGUCUGGAGUGAAAUGCCGGGGCCCAACCCCGGAACUGCUUUGGAAACUGUGCAGCUGGAGUGCAGGAGAGGUAAGCGGAAUUCCUAGUGUAGCGGUGAAAUGCGUAGAUAUUAGGAGGAACACCAGUGGCGAAGGCAGCUUACUAAACUGCCACUGACAUGGCUACUCGAAAGUGUGGGUAUCAAACAGGAUUAGAUACCCGAGUAGUA
RNAcentral lists this ribosomal RNA (441 nucleotides) under uncultured bacterium. Its description in RNAcentral is "partial 16S ribosomal RNA". It matches the Rfam family "Bacterial small subunit ribosomal RNA", at positions 338 to 795 of the family's 1533-position model. The record is from RNAcentral.